Molecule: ribosomal RNA, 440 nt
Filed under: uncultured bacterium
Lineage: Bacteria
Description: partial 16S ribosomal RNA
Rfam family: Bacterial small subunit ribosomal RNA
Source: RNAcentral
CCUACGGGAGGCAGCAGUGGGGGAUAUUGCACAAUGGGGGGAACCCUGAUGCAGCGACGCCGCGUGGGUGAAGAAGCGCCUCGGCGCGUAAAGCCCUGUCAGCAGGGAAGAAAAUGACGGUAACUGAAGAAGAAGCCCCGGCUAACUACGUGCCAGCAGCCGCGGUAAUACGUAGGGGGCCAGCGUUAUCCGGAUUUACUGGGGGUAAAGGGGGCGCAGACGGCGAUGCAAGCCAGGAGGGAAAGCCCGGGGCCUAACCCCGGGCCUGCUCUUGGAACUGGGUGGCUAGAGUGCAGGAGGGGCAGGCGGAAUUCCUGGUGUAGCGGUGAAAUGCGUAGAUAUCAGGAGGAACACCAGUGGCGAAGGCGGCCUGCUGGACUGAAACUGACGUUGAGGCACGAAAGCGUGGGGAGCAAACAGGAUUAGAUACCCGAGUAGUC